GAUAAUUGGGCCAUAUACUGCGGGCUGAUGCUCCGGUUACUGGCUUGAGUGACCCAGCAGUGACAGAUAGGGUACUGAUCCCAACAUACGGUGACAGCCCAAUGGAUUGCCUCUUGAAAGUGCAGCUGGCCUGUCUGCAUGUCCAACUCACAGAACAAGGUCCUAAGGGUCGACUCUAUGGGCUGCUGAUAAGACGUUACAUUCCCCUGACCUUUGAGGGUGUGGGAUGUUGGGAAUCACUUCUGACUGAUUCAAAGCCUGGAGCACCUGAGGAAUCUUAAGGAUACAACCCACUGUCUAGCGCACGUGAACAACAGGAAAUACUUAUAGCUCUAAAGCUGGACUAUAAAGUCACAGAAGACGGUGAUGUGAAGAGACAGAUGGCUACAGUAAUAGCAUCAUUAUUCUGUAGCUUUGGGUGAAGUGGGUGCUGCAUAUGUUCCAUAAACUGUAAGGGGUAAAAGCCCACAUAGAUGUCUACAUAACAAAAAAGAAACACUACCAUCAGAGACUCUGAGUGACACAGGAAGAAAAUAUGCCAUGUCAGACAUCCAAAUCUAAGCAAAUCUAUUUCAUCUUUUAAAGGGAGAAGAGCUGUAGCUAUUAUUAUUAUUUUUGCAACAAAUAAUUAAUUCAGGAUACUAAAUUUGUUGAUAAGCAACAAAUAUAAUGUGUGCUUUUAAUAAUGAUGUUGCUUAAAUCAGACUCAUCUGCACUCUCUCUCAGGCUUCCUCUCCAAAAACAAUCCUGGAACAGAAAAGUGAUUUCAAACAAUUAUAAUGAUUACAAAGGAACUGUUAGCACCUGCUGCUGACUUUUGGCAGUCAUCAGUCAAUGAAGGACUCAGAAUAUUUGUUAACAACAA
Molecule: non-coding RNA, 865 nt
Organism: Heterocephalus glaber (naked mole-rat)
Lineage: Eukaryota; Metazoa; Chordata; Mammalia; Rodentia; Bathyergidae
Source: RefSeq, a predicted model, not a curated record